AUUUAUCUAAGUCUCCAAAUUAGGUUGCAUUCUAUUCUAUACUCAUUUUAUUAGAGCUAGUCUUCUAUACUAUCUAUAGUACCGGGGCUCUGGUACUAUAGUCUCAUUUUCGAUCUUAGGGUAUUCAAAUUAACGAUCCACUCCGUUAAAACUAAUCUAGGGUAUUUAAAGUUUUUAGAAAUAAAAUUUUAUAUUCUUUCAACAUAGUUUACUUUAUGAUCAAACCAUUUCAAAAUUGUCAAUUUUUAAUGGCUACUAUGGCGAGUUUGGAGUUUAACGGUGUAGAAGAAUCUAAAUUUUUUCAAAUUUUGAUAGAAAAUACUUUAAACUAUCUAGAUUAAGGUUAACAUUCUUCAUCUUGAAUUUAAAAGUCCUAUGCUCAAAUUUUAAAGAUUAAUCAAUUUCCACCGUCCAUUUUGACAUAAUUUAUUUACUAAGUAAACGAUGUCGAAAAAAACUAAAAUUUUAUUCAUAAGAACUUCAUAUACCCUAGAUCAUAUUUAACUGUGUGGAUCAUUAAUUUGAAUAUCCUAAGAUCGAAAACAAGAGUAUAGUACCGGAGCUUCGGUACUAUAGAUAGUAUAGUAGCCUAAUUAGAUAUAUAUAUAUAUAUAGAGUUAGGCUGGUAUACUAUCGGUAGCACGGAGGCCUCCGUGCUACCAAAUUGUUUUCAAUGAUACGGCUUCUAAAUUGACGAUCGGCUCCACUAGACUUGAUCUACACUAUUGAAAGUAUUUGGAUACUAAAUUUCAUAAUUUUUCGGUAUCAUUUACCUAUCAAACAAGUAGUCUAAAAAUGAAUGGCUGAAAAUAAAAAUCUCAUAAAAAAUAGUGAUAAAGAAUUCAAAUUUCAAAUUGGAAGUAUUGGUCUUGCUAUUGAUGUUAAGUAGAAUUUUCUAUUAAAUUUUCAUCUAAUUUGGAUACUUCUACCCGUUGAACUUAAAAACGCA
RNAcentral lists this long non-coding RNA (949 nucleotides) under Ananas comosus (pineapple). RNAcentral describes it as "long non-coding RNA (ACOM_LNC024512)". The record is from RNAcentral. Lineage: Eukaryota; Viridiplantae; Streptophyta; Magnoliopsida; Poales; Bromeliaceae.